This 1671-nucleotide ribosomal RNA is filed under the name Triticum aestivum (bread wheat). RNAcentral's name for it is "partial small subunit ribosomal RNA". The record is from RNAcentral. Lineage: Eukaryota; Viridiplantae; Streptophyta; Magnoliopsida; Poales; Poaceae.
AUGGAUACUGUACAUUCUUUGAAUGACAGGUUUAUGCACCAUCUAGAGACCAAUCCGGAGUAUGAUAGUCUGCAGGGCCUAUUUGCUUGGAUGCAUUCCUACUUCCGUGAUUGCCCUGAUUCACUCAAGCUAUGUAUUUUUUACCUAUCAAUUUUUCCUCGAGACUGCAAUAUUCGAAGAAGGCGACUAGUAAGGAGGUGGAUCGCAGAGGGUUACUCCAGAGACAGCGAUAAAAAAUCUUCUGAGGAGGAAGGAGAGAUGUUUUUCUCCAUGCUCCUCGAGCUGAGCAUUAUCCAGCAGAUUCCGCAGUUAGGCAACACAGCAGUCAAUGAGACAAGGAUGGCAAGAUGCCAGGUGAAUGGCUUCAUGCGCGAGUAUAUCCUCUCGCGGAGAAUGGAAGAGAACCUUGUCUUUGAACUCGGGCCCAAUUGUGUCCUAACAACCCAGCGAACAGGGCGCCACCUUAUUAUAUUGAGAGACUGGGCCAGAGACAAAAUUGUGUUUGAGAGCAUUGACUUCUCGCGGCUACGAUCAAUGACAGUGUUUGGAAACUGGGAAUCAUUCUUCAUCUCUAAAAGUAUGAGGUUGAUUCGGGUGCUUGAUUUGGAGGAUGCAUCAGGUUUAAAGGAUGAUGAUCUCGAGAAGAUGGUGAAGCGGCUACGCCGCCUUAAAUUUCUCUCUUUACGAGGAUGCAGUGAGAUCUACCAUCUGCCUUGUUCACUGGGUGAUCUCAGGCAGCUCCAGAGUCUGGAUGUGAGAUGCACCUCUAUAGUCACCUUGCCAGUGAACAUCGCCAAGUUACAGAAGCUACAGUACAUCCGUGCCGGUACCACGGGCCCAGCAUCAACGCCACCUGCUUCUUCUAGUUGUUUGCCAGAGUUCCGCAAACGCCGUGGCCUAAUUGGUGUUGAGGUUCCAAGGGGGAUUGGAAAACUAACGGCACUACACACACUUGGUGUUGUCAAUGUCAGUGCUUCAGGGGGAAGGGCCAUUGUGGAAGAGCUCAAGAAGCUUACCCAAUUGCGUAAGCUCGGAGUGUCUGGAAUCAACAUGCAGAACAGCAAGGAGUUCUCCACUGCAAUUUCAGGUCAUGUGCACUUGGAGUCCUUGUUAGUGCGGCUCGACAAGGACAAUCAGCGUUCCUUAGAUGAGAUCUCCCUGCCUUGGGAGAACCUACAGAGUCUUAAACUGUUUGGGCUUGAAGACAAGUUGCCUCUAUCAAUAAGCAAACUUGACAAGAUAAGGAAGUUGGAUCUAGAGAUGGCCACUUUAGUGCAAAGUGACAUUCAGAUCCUCGCCAAGCUACCGGAACUAUGUAUUCUGCGCCUUCAAGUCCAACAAGUUCCAGAUGGUAUGCUCCAUUUUUAUGCAGAGAUGUAUGGAGAGCAGUUGGCCACCUUCAAAAAAGUGAAGAUCCUGGAGAUUGCUUGCAGCUCCACCGAGUUGCAUGUAACCUUCGGAUCAAAAUCGAUGAAGAAGCUUGAGGUGCUCAAGAUUGACUACUCCAGUGCAUCAUAUGAGCUUACCGGCCUGACUAAUCUAUCUGAACUCAAGGAAGUCUUGCUCAAGGGUACCAAUGAUGAGGCGUUCAGGGCACAAUUUGCGAACACCCUUGCCGAUCACCCAAAGAGCCCUGCCGUCAAGCUGGAGGGACUACCAUCAUCGUCUUGA